UUGGCAUAUGUCCAUAGACAUCAGCAUUCUGAAGAUGGAACACGUGUAAUGGCGUGGGAAUGCUACCUAGUGACCUGAUGACAGUGAGAGAAAAGUCACCAGAACUAGCCCCUGACGAGUUAGAGUGCUUUUUACAAACAGAACUUCUUUGGAGCCACAUAGCAAAUCUUCCAGGAGUAACCCAGACAGAAGGCCUGGAGUAAAGACAGUGGGAAUGGACAAGGCUGGGGAAAGAAGAGUACGUGAUACUCAGGAGGAAAGCUGUCAGUACACGGCUCCUACUGGCUGUGGCAGUUUCUCUGGAGUUCCUUGUUUCUGGCGGCCUUGACAGUUCUGACUACUGGUCAGGUAUUAUUUUGUAACAUGACCUCUGAAUGGUAUUUGCCUGACGGUUUUUUUCCAUGAUUAGCCUGGGGUUGUGGGUGUUUGGGAGGACGAUCACGGAGGUGGAGUGCUAUCCUCGUCACAUCAAAUCAGGGUACCACCACGUAGCUUAUCACUGUUGAUGUCAUGCCCUGGUUGAGGUCAUGUUUGUCAUGUUCCUCCACUGUGAAGCUGGCUGUUUCCCCCCUUCUUUCCAUACUGUCCUCUUUGGAAGGAAGUCACCAAGUGCAGCUCACAUCCAAGGAGUAGGGAGUUACGCUCUCUCUCCUCGAGGGCAGAGACCUAUAUAAGUGUUUGGAAUUCUUCUGAACAAGAGAUUUAUUAAUUCUCUGCCAUUGCUUAUUGGAAUUCUUACUUCUAAAAUCAGAGUACCCUAAAAAUUUGUUUCACAACGGAACAGAUAUGUUUACAUUAUAAGUA
Vicugna pacos (alpaca) is the source of this 804-nucleotide long non-coding RNA. RefSeq lists it as uncharacterized. Lineage: Eukaryota; Metazoa; Chordata; Mammalia; Artiodactyla; Camelidae. The record is from RefSeq and is a predicted model, not a curated record.